This 254-nucleotide ribosomal RNA is filed under the name uncultured bacterium. RNAcentral describes it as "partial 16S ribosomal RNA". It matches the Rfam family "Bacterial small subunit ribosomal RNA", at positions 526 to 779 of the family's 1533-position model. The record is from RNAcentral.
CGUAGGGUGCGAGCGUUAAUCGGAAUUACUGGGCGUAAAGCGGGCGCAGACGGUUUGUUAAGCAGGAUGUGAAAUCCCCGGGCUCAACCCGGGAACUGCGUUCUGAACUGGCAGGCUAGAGUGUGUCAGAGGGGGGUAGAAUUCCACGUGUAGCAGUGAAAUGCGUAGAGAUGUGGAGGAAUACCGAUGGCGAAGGCAGCCCCCUGGGAUAACACUGACGUUCAUGCCCGAAAGCGUGGGUAGCAAACAGGAUU